RNAcentral lists this ribosomal RNA (482 nucleotides) under uncultured bacterium. RNAcentral describes it as "partial 16S ribosomal RNA". It matches the Rfam family "Bacterial small subunit ribosomal RNA", at positions 30 to 507 of the family's 1533-position model. The record is from RNAcentral.
AUUGAACGCUGGCGGCAUGCCUUACACAUGCAAGUCGAACGGUAACAGGUCUUGGGAUUCUUACUAGUGGCGAACGGUGGCGUAAUACAUCGGAACGUGCCCAGACCUAGUUGAUCGUGGGGCGUAAGCUUUGCUAAUUUCCCCUACUACCUCAUACUGACAACAGGUGACCGCAAGGCAUCUUGCGACUUUACCGGCCGAUGUCAGAUUAUGUCGUUGGAGGGAUAAAAGCUGACCAAGCCGACGAUCUGUAGCUGGUCUGAGAGGAUGAGCAGCCACACUGGGACUGAGACACGGUCCAGACUCCUACGGGAGGCAGCAGUGGGGAAUAUUGGACAAUGGGCGAAAGCCUGAUCCAGCAAUGCCGCGUGGAGGAUGAAGGCCUUCGGGUUGUAAAGUGCUUUUGUAGGGAAAGAAAAGGAGCUGGUUAAUACCCGGCUGAUAUGACGGUACCGUAAGAAUAAGCACCGGCUAACUACGUG